UGUCUGACUACGAAUCAGAAGGUUGUAGGUUCGACUCCUACUGGGUGCA
The sequence is a transfer RNA, 49 nucleotides long. It matches the Rfam family "tRNA", at positions 24 to 71 of the family's 71-position model. From Rfam's summary of the family: Transfer RNA (tRNA) molecules are approximately 80 nucleotides in length. Their secondary structure includes four short double-helical elements and three loops (D, anti-codon, and T loops). The record is from Rfam.